RNAcentral lists this long non-coding RNA (239 nucleotides) under Elaeis guineensis (African oil palm). RNAcentral's name for it is "long non-coding RNA (EGUI_LNC004012)". Lineage: Eukaryota; Viridiplantae; Streptophyta; Magnoliopsida; Arecales; Arecaceae. The record is from RNAcentral.
CGAUCUUGACUCUUCCAUCAAAUAUAUUCUUUAAAUACUCUAGUCUAUGGAACAAGAUUUUCCAUCAAUAGUUUGAUUUAUAAAGCAUUAGUCUAUGAUCAUACUCUUCCAUUAAUAAAGUAUGAUUUGAGUUCAAGUCCUCAGUGGUAUUCUCUUAAGAUUGCCCCAAAUUCAGGUGGGAUGAUUUCUUCUUGAUUGAGAUUUUUUAAUUUGAGAGGUAGAUAAGUCCAUAUAUACAA